GCCUACGGGGGGCAGCAGUAGGGAAUUUUCGUCAAUGGGCGCAAGCCUGAACGAGCAAUGCCGCGUAAACGAGAAAGGUCUUCGGAUCGUAAAGUUCUGUUGAAGGGGAAAAAGAGCGGAGAGAGGAAAUGGUCUCCGAUUGAUAUUACCCUUCGAGGAAGUCACGGCUAACUACGUGCCAGCAGCCGCGGUAAUACGUAGGUGGCGAGCGUUAUCCGGAAUGAUUGGGCGUAAAGGGUGCGUAGGCGGCCUGCUAAGUCUGGAGUGAAAGGUACCGGCUCAACCGGUACAGGCUCUGGAAACUG
RNAcentral lists this ribosomal RNA (305 nucleotides) under uncultured bacterium. RNAcentral describes it as "bacterial SSU rRNA". It matches the Rfam family "Bacterial small subunit ribosomal RNA", at positions 337 to 635 of the family's 1533-position model. The record is from RNAcentral.